GCGGCGAACCUGCUGGUCAGACGGGUCGUUGGAGAUUGCUUGAAAACCGCUAAGGCAGGACCCACCUGUCUUCAUGGGUUCGAAUCCCAUGCCCUCCGCUCCA
This 103-nucleotide transfer RNA is filed under the name Actinopolymorpha cephalotaxi. RNAcentral's name for it is "tRNA-OTHER". Lineage: Bacteria; Bacillati; Actinomycetota; Actinomycetes; Propionibacteriales; Actinopolymorphaceae. The record is from RNAcentral.